RNAcentral lists this ribosomal RNA (448 nucleotides) under uncultured Planctomycetota bacterium. RNAcentral describes it as "bacterial SSU rRNA". It matches the Rfam family "Bacterial small subunit ribosomal RNA", at positions 217 to 656 of the family's 1533-position model. Lineage: Bacteria; Pseudomonadati; Planctomycetota. The record is from RNAcentral.
GCUUAGAGAGGGGUCAAUGUCCUAUCAGCUAGUUGGUAGGGUAAUGGCCUACCAAGGCUAAGACGGGUAGCCGGCCUGAGAGGGUGGUCGGCCACACUGGGACUGAGACACUGCCCAGACUCCUACGGGAGGCUGCAGUCGAGAAUCUUUCGCAAUGCCCGAAAGGGUGACGAAGCGACGCCGCGUGUGGGAAGAAGGCCUUCGGGUUGUAAACCACUGUCGGGAGUUAAGAAAUGUAAGGGUGUUAAUAGUAUCCUUACUUGACUAAGGCUCCGGAGGAAGCCACGGCUAACUCUGUGCCAGCAGCCGCGGUAAUACAGAGGCGGCAAGCGUUGUUCGGAAUUAUUGGGCGUAAAGAGCACGUAGGCGGCUUUGUAAGUCAGUUGUGAAAGCCUUCUGCUCAACGGAAGAACAGCAUCUGAUACUGCAAGGCUAGAGUGCGGAAGGG